GCGCAGGUGGCCGAGUGGUUAAUGGCAGCAGACUGUAAAUCUGCCGACGCGAGUCUACGGAGGUUCGAACCCUUCCCUGCGCA
RNAcentral lists this transfer RNA (83 nucleotides) under Bacteroidota bacterium. Its description in RNAcentral is "Bacteroidetes bacterium (activated sludge metagenome) tRNA-Tyr". It matches the Rfam family "tRNA". Rfam says of the family: Transfer RNA (tRNA) molecules are approximately 80 nucleotides in length. Their secondary structure includes four short double-helical elements and three loops (D, anti-codon, and T loops). Further hydrogen bonds mediate the characteristic L-shaped molecular structure. tRNAs have two regions of fundamental functional importance: the anti-codon, which is responsible for specific mRNA codon recognition, and the 3' end, to which the tRNAs corresponding amino acid is attached (by aminoacyl-tRNA synthetases). tRNAs cope with the degeneracy of the genetic code in two manners: having more than one tRNA (with a specific anti-codon) for a particular amino acid; and 'wobble' base-pairing, i.e. permitting non-standard base-pairing at the 3rd anti-codon position. The record is from RNAcentral. Lineage: Bacteria; Pseudomonadati; Bacteroidota.